UUUGUGCUCCACGCCUUUCAUAUCAACCACAACAAUCCCCCAAACCUCCCAGCAGUCUUUUGUAGUAUUUUCUGCAGGAAAAACACAGCUUGACUCAGCCAACAGAAAUCAGUGCUCGGCCUCCAGAGUACAUCAUACAAGAAAAGCUCAGGGAAUAAAGAGAGGAGUCUGACCAAAGCAUGUACAGUGUUUCACAGGUGAUGAGCCGACAGGCCGUAGAAAGAGAACAUCCAUGUCCUGUCUGAUCAGACCGAAGCUGGUUGAGAGGCGUCUUUUCUGUUACAAUGCCUCAACAAAUAGGAGAACUAGGGCACGUGUUUGUUUUAAAACACCUUUUUUUCAAGCAUGUUCUAGCAUGUUUCCAGGUCUAAUUUAUUCAGAUAAAACACAGUAAAGUCAUACUUUCUAAAAAAAAAUCAGAACAAAAGGUAUAACAUUGAAAUACUCAACAAAAUGCUUGCAAUAGCUAAAAAAUUACAUGAAUUUUACUUUUAUUUGUUUAAUUUACUCAACACUGCACCUCCAUUUGCUGAUUCCCACAGACUCUGGCUCCAUUAACAUACAACAGUCUUCUUGUAAUUUCGCAUCACUUUUGUACAACAUCAGUUACCAUCCAACUUUAUGUGCAGCUAAUGAUUUUGAAAGGAAUCUGUCUGAACCAGUUUUAUUCGCAGAGGAUCAAAUCAUAUAAGAAAAGCCUCAGUGCACCAAAGUUUUAAAAUGUUAUUGAAUCAAAACUGCAAACAACAACUUUCCUCCUCUGAAAUGAAGGUUUAUGAAGUGUGUUUUUCUUUACGAGAGAGAUGUGUGUUUAUUUGACGGGGGAAAACAGAGCGUCUGUGCAGAUGUAAGACGUCAAGUAUUGAAUGUAAAAGUGACAUAUUGGCUGAGAACAGCGUGGUUUGAGAAGCUUUUUCAUAGACUUGGCUGGUGUGUUUGUGCAUGCACGAGUGUGAAACACAAGAGAGAUGAAACUGUUCUUGGGUAAUUGGGUUUAUUGAAAUGUGUGCUCAUUAGAUAACACUCUUUAGAUUCUAUGUCCACAAAGCUCUGAGAUAUAUAUCUGAAUGCUAUCUCAAUGUCACCUCAUUUAUAUUUAUAGAUUACAUCCUCUUGAUUUCCUUUAAGUCUCCAGAAGCCAACUCUGUAAGGAGCAAUCGUCCCAACCUUGAACUCUGUGUCUCCUCUCCAAAGAGCAACUCUGCUGUUGUGUAAGAGUUUGUAUCUGUCUUACUUUACAUGUACAAGAUGUGUUUUUCCAUAGGAGUCUAUAGUGUAUGUAAAGACUGUGUAGACAGACUUUAGCUGUAAUUAUGACUGUGGUCUAAAGGGAAAAGGGGAGCAGAAGAGGCAAUAGUUUGAUGUUAUGGAGCCACAAAGUGGUCAUAGGGAGGGGAAAUGUCAGAAUGUGACAUUAGGGGAUGGCUGUUUACCUCCCUUUCUCACCACAGUCCACAUAGCCUGGGAUUAAGCAGCUCCCAUGAUUGGUUUGUCAAUUUAUAACCUGAGAUUUCUCUCUUAAUUAAAUAUCGAAAUCUAAAUAUUUAACAAAUAAGUGAAUUUUAUAGUGUCUGAGUAAAGAAACCACUGAUUAAAGUGCAGUGCUCUGAAGUAUCUAACGGGCCUGGAUUUAGAGAAAAAAAUCACAAACAACAUCUAUCACCCAGGAGGGGAUCAUUUGGAGGGGGAUGAGGUAGACGGGAUGUUUGGUUUCCUCUGAUCUGAACCAACAGUGAAAAGUUUUUAUGGCGCAGGUGUAUAAAUUUAACAUUUGAUUUAUACCUUGUCCCACUGAAUGGCAGUAGACUUGGCAGUGGCCGUAACAAUGGCUUGUGCGUAAUACGCGAAUUUUGCAGAUGUCCAAUUUGUCAAUAUCUUCGAACUCAAUUUGGCUGAUACUGAUAAAGAGGGUGAUACCAAUAUCAAUCAUGGAUGGCAAUAUUAUGCAGAUAGAAAUUUUGUGAAUCUUUGUGAAAAAAUGAAUCUUAUACAUAUAUGUUUUGUUUUUUCAUUAGCUGCAAUUUAGUCAUUGAAAUGAAAAAAAUAAACACUUGAAAUAUAUCGGUCUGUGUGUGAUAAAUCUAGAUAAUAAAUGCGUUUCACUUUUUUUAACUUAAAGGUGGGGUAAGCAGAAUUUCAUUGAAAAAAGCAUGGGGUUUUUUUUGUGGUGUAUAGACAAAAAAGCUUUUAAUAUCAGUCAAUAGCUAUUAGUUAUUGAUGACAUUUGGGAAUAUAACAAUAUCGCUGUGUUCUCUUGUGUCUGUGUAGUCAACAUUUUAAAGUUUUUGAGUGCCCCGCUCUUUCUGACUGUAAACAAAGCCGUUCUCCGCCUCCCCCAACCUGAUUGGUUGUGAGGCGGACGCUGCUCUCUCAUGUUAUGAGGCAUGCUCCACGUCCUCGAAUGACGUGCAGGAGCCUAAACAAAGUUAGUGUGCUAUAAUAACAGACAGUAGAAACCAACCAGAAAGUACAAAAAAUUGUCUGAAUCCUCCUUUGGCCAGGACUGCCAACACAAGCAAGAAAACGAAGUAAAUACCUGAGACUCUGGCGGAAUAACGGGCCCCUACCCCACCUUUAACCUCUGCUAUAAAUCAACUUUUUGAUGAUAUCCUAAUUUAUUGAGAAGCACCAGCAUCAGAAAUUUAUCAUUCAUUCAAAGGCGUUGUGGACAGCAGUGAUUCUAAACACUCUUUUAAUAUCUUGUUUUUAUAUUGUCUUUUUGUGAGUCAGGUCAUUGUGGGAUUUUCCUGUUAAGCUGUGGGCAAUUUUCCACAUUUCUCUCAAUAAAUUUCUCUCAUACAUUUCAACAACAGCACUGAAUUAUGGCUGCUUACACCUGAGCAGCAGUAAAACUACUCUGUGCUGGGUCAGACAUUAUGGUUUGACUGAAUGAUGCCUCCUCAUUUCGUUGCAUACCACUUGAAGUUUCAGACAAGCCCUGUGUUAAAAUUUCCAAUUAUUAUUUUCAUUAUUAUUAUUUAAUAUGUCACAUGUUGUUUUGGUGUCUGCACAAAACAGCGACUGCGACUCGUUUUGUUGUCCAGAAAUGAAGGUAAUCCCCGGAGCUUUUUCAGACAGCUGGUGCCACUUCAAGUAACAAACCACAAAGCAUCUUUUUAUUUUUCUAUUUUUGCUUUAACAGAGUAGAGAAAAUUCUAGAUUUACUCCAACCGUGCACUACUUUAAUGAGAAACUGGAAUGAUUAGCUGGCAUUAGGUCUGAAGGAGCCCAUGAGCAGCAGCGAGACUGUACCGCACAGGUAGAAACUGAACAUGAUGAUAACACCUGGAGAGCGAACAGAGGGAGGGAGAGAGAGAAAAAGAAAAGCAGGAGGGAAGAAAAACUCUCACAGCAGGCUCUUUGCUGUCCCUGGCAUAUUAUGCAGUGAAACCUUGAUACUAACUACACAUUAGAGUCAUUAAAACCUGGGUUUUUAGUGACUAAUGAUUGAUUUUAAAAGUGGAGUCUGCAGGAUUGUUGGUCAUUUGUUAUGCUGAUAAAUUUAGCUCCUCCAUAUCAUCUCACAAUUCCACGCACUAGUGGCAAAGAGUCACCUUUCUGCUGUGUUAUUGUAUAUAGAGCAGUUAAUGCGAGGAUGUAGACUUUACAAAGGGAUUUUCUAAGUCACUUCGAAGUUUACAGAGGUGGAGGUGAAAGAAGACAAAGAAGGUGAUGCAAUGUCAGCCACCAAGCGCUCUGUGCAGGGAAGGAGAAAUGCUGCAGCAGUUUUAAAGGAGAUGUUUGUAAUGCACGUUGAAUUUAUACCCCAACUAUCAACUGGGAGACCAAUAUUAGACUUAGCUAAAUCACUGAUACAUGAGAGUACAAACAUGCUAAAUUAAGAUAACCGGCAGAGAUCAGACAGUUAAACAGUGACCUUGUUAGCUAGCUCUGAAUUUAAAAUUACAAAUAUAUUCUGCACGAACAGCUUUCACUACGUCUCCAACUCUCAGUUUACACCGUUGGGUACCUGGAACUGUGUGUUAAACUGAAAAAAAUCCAUAGCUCAAACUCUGAACGACCUGAAACAUAAAGUUAUUAUGUGUAUUAGUCGGACUUAGCAUGUACCUAAACUGCUUGUACCUGAACCAAAAGCUGCCUGAGAAUCUUAUAAACCUGUGUUAUAAUGCAAAAGCUGAUUUAGCAUGUUAACUCUUUCAAAGCCAUUCAAAAGUUCACCCUUAUCUUGAUGCUUUACGAAACAGAGUAGAAGCCUUAAAGAGCAUGAGGACCUUUAACAUCAAUCAUUACUGUAAUCAGUGCUGCCUGUCAAGUAGCCAACAUGACUUCAUCGCAUCUAUUAUGUUGGCCAUUAUUGAUGCUGUCAGUGAGCAGGACCCUGAUUGGAAUAUAUUUGAAGGGGGGUUUCAAAGUUCGGAGGUAAAGUGGUUUAUGCUGUAGUAAAAGUAAACUUUUUUUACUUGAAGAUUGGUGUGCUAAUCUCAAUAUAAGGGAUAAGAGAGGAAGUACAAAAUAAACUCAAGGCAGACUUAUAAUUACAUCCAAGCCUGCAAGUCCAUUAGAAUUCCAAGUCAAGUUUUGUCAGAUUGGACUGAAUUUAAAUCACUCUCUUUUGAAGCUGUGCCUCACAGGAAAUGGACUUGAUAUGUGUUUCAAAUAAAUAUAACUCUGCUUAUGAAUUUCUUCUGCACUUAGAUAGAAGAACAUCCAGUUAUCUGUGGAAAAUUGAGAAAUGCAAUUGCAGAAAAGACUCAGAUUAAAGGGUAAGACCUUUUUCACUCAAGUGCUUGAAAAAGAAGCACAAGUAAGCUCAAGUUUGCAACAGUGAGCUGCAGCAUAAUGAAGUCAUGAUAAUAAAGGUGCUUCUCUUUAGAGCAAGUGGAUCAUUUAAUAAUGUCAAUUUUGAUAUUGAUUCUUCUAAUUGUCAUUAAUUAGUUAAGCCAGAGCAUAAAGGAAAUUACAAUCGCUAAGUGUUGCAACCACCAUGUUUUGUUUUUCUCCACUGGAGUUAGUACCUGCACCACCACUCCAAGCCAGUAGGGGUCAACACAAGAGGCUUUCCCUUCCACUUGCAGCUUUGCAGAUUGUAUUUUUGACUUACCAUAGGCCCAAGAGCUUACAAAACAUGCUUGCAAGUCAAAGAUUAAAUAUAAAUUGCAAAACUCAAGUUUUAAGACCAUUGCCAUUAAAGCUCACUAACUGACUUUGGUUAUUUAAUUUAGUAUCCCCAGUGCAGGGAAAGUGCAGAAUACAUUAAAUGCAUUUUAUACUGCCAUUAGUAGAAGAUGCAAGAGUCAAGAAAACUUCCACUUUGAACAAAACUAACAUGCUUGGUCUUCAAGUUUGCUGGCAGCAAUUAAACAUGAGUAUAUGGAAAAUAAACUGCUCAACUCAAGAACAGAAUAUUAGGCAAAUGGCAACCAGCAGCCAACAUCACCAGAGCUCAUUCAGGUAUGAGCUGCUACACCUCAUCCACCUUUUAGGGAGUAGAAGAAAAGCUUUGGUCAAGACUCUGUUGUCAUCUGUACUGAUUUCUACAUCUGUACAAUAAAGACGCCCAGGCUGUUCUUCAGAUCUCAUCCUGUCUCCUGUGCACUGUUUUACUGAGUUUAUGCUGAUUUUCCACUACAACAUAACGUGUUCCUGCUUAGUGAUAAAGGCCACAACAACACAAUACACAGAAACCCCAACAGGAAAAGUUUUUUCAAAGAAGGGAUUGGGUAGUUUCUCCCCCCCAGCAAUGGAUCAAAAGAUAAGAGGUGUCACAUUAAAUAUCUUCCCCCGUCUUGGAGAAAAAUGACCAUCUCAGCAUUGGUUUAAAUUCCUUUAGUGUGACUCAGAUUCGUCUUCCUUACUACAGCACUUUCCUGGUGGUGCUCUAUAAAAAAUAUAAGUUGUGUGGCAUACUAAUUUCUCUCUUUCUUGUCCUAAAAGACUUCCUUUUCUGGCACAUUUGGGGGGAGGGGCGUUGUUGAUUGAGCAGAAAUAAAAGAGUUUUUAAGUGUGAAAACAACAUUUGAUACUGAAACAAAAUCAAUCUUUUCAAGCUUUUUUGAUAAGUUAAAUUUCAACCACAUCCAAGUCAUAAGAGUAAAUAUAAAAAUAACAAAAAAAGAGUCUGUUUCAUUGUACAGAUAUGUAGCCUACAAAUAUGAGAAUAGCUAGUCAGCUAGUUCACUUGGAACGCAGUGAUGCAGAGUUAACUUUAUGCCAUCACAAAAAGCUAAGAAGUUUUCCUCAACAUCAGCUCCAUAAACCCCAGGAGAGGAUUACUUAUUGAACUUUUUAAUACAAAUUAAACAAAUUUGAGAAAAAAGUUAAUGGUGGCGUUUCUCUGUAAGACUUCACAUAAGCUUAUCCCCCCUACCCUCCAGUUAGCUGAGCGUGGAGUGAAGCUUGGCUAACUAGCUGUUGAAGAAACCGUAUUAUGUUUCACAUGUACACAACAAAGGUGUCAAUCUUCUCUAAUUCCAGGUAAUAUAACAAAUUACGUUAAUUUCCCAAAAUGUUGAACUAUUCCUUUAUCUAAGGCGAACCC
Molecule: non-coding RNA, 6499 nt
Organism: Xyrichtys novacula (pearly razorfish)
Lineage: Eukaryota; Metazoa; Chordata; Actinopteri; Labriformes; Labridae
Source: the annotation of a GenBank genome assembly